This 465-nucleotide ribosomal RNA is filed under the name Vreelandella stevensii. Its description in RNAcentral is "partial 16S ribosomal RNA". It matches the Rfam family "Bacterial small subunit ribosomal RNA", at positions 338 to 795 of the family's 1533-position model. Lineage: Bacteria; Pseudomonadati; Pseudomonadota; Gammaproteobacteria; Oceanospirillales; Halomonadaceae. The record is from RNAcentral.
CCUACGGGAGGCUGCAGUGGGGAAUAUUGGACAAUGGGGGCAACCCUGAUCCAGCCAUGCCGCGUGUGUGAAGAAGGCCCUCGGGUUGUAAAGCACUUUCAGUGAGGAAGAACGCCUGGUGGUUAAUACCCAUCAGGAAAGACAUCACUCACAGAAGAAGCACCGGCUAACUCCGUGCCAGCAGUCGCGGUAAUACGGAGGGUGCGAGCGUUAAUCGGAAUUACUGGGCGUAAAGCGCGCGUAGGUGGCUUGAUAAGCCGGUUGUGAAAGCCCCGGGCUCAACCUGGGAACGGCAUCCGGAACUGUCAAGCUAGAGUGCAGGAGAGGAAGGUAGAAUUCCCGGUGUAGCGGUGAAAUGCGUAGAGAUCGGGAGGAAUACCAGUGGCGAAGGCGGCCUUCUGGACUGACACUGACACUGAGGUGCGAAAGCGUGGGUAGCAAACAGGAUUAGAUACCCUAGUAGUC